RNAcentral lists this ribosomal RNA (879 nucleotides) under uncultured bacterium. RNAcentral describes it as "bacterial SSU rRNA". It matches the Rfam family "Bacterial small subunit ribosomal RNA", at positions 8 to 883 of the family's 1533-position model. The record is from RNAcentral.
AGAGUUUGAUCCUGGCUCAGAAUGAACGUUGGCGGCGUGGAUUAGGCAUGCAAGUCGAGCGAGAAUUUGUGAUNGGAGGCUUCGGCUGAAGAGAUCGGAGGAAAGCGGCAAACGGCGUAGUAAUGCGUAGGUACAUACCCUCGGGUCGGGAAUAGCCAUGGGAAACUGUGGGUAAUGCCCGAUAAUCUCUNCGGAGCAAAGGUGUGAUUCCGCCUGAGGAGUGGCUUACGUGAUAUUAGCUUGUUGGUGGGGUAAUGGCCUACCAAGGCGAUGAUGUCUAGGGGGUGUGAGAGCAUGGCCCCCACGACCGGAACUGAGACACUGUCCGGACACCUACGGGUGGCUGCAGUCGAGAAUCUUCCGCAAUGGACGAAAGUCUGACGGAGCGACGCCGCGUGCGGGAUGAAGGCCCUUGGGUUGUAAACCGCUGUCAGAGGGGAUGAAAUCAUGGUUGGCUAUCCUUCCAUGUUGACAGAGCCUCAGAGGAAGCACGGGCUAAGUACGUGCCAGCAGCCGCGGUAACACGUACUGUGCGAACGUUAUUCGGAAUCACUGGGCUUAAAGGGUGCGUAGGCGGUUUAUCAAGUCAGAUGUGAAAUGCCAGAGCUCAACUGUGGCACUGCGUUUGAAACUGAUAGGCUAGAGUAUUCCAGGGGUGUGCGGAACUUAUGGUGGAGCGGUGAAAUGCGUUGAUAUCAUGAGGAACACCGGAGGCGAAGGCGGCACACUGGGGGAUUACUGACGCUGAGGCACGAAAGCUAGGGUAGCGAACGGGAUUAGAUACCCCGGUAGUCCUAGCUGUAAACGAUGAGCACUGGGCGAGAGGCGAUUCGUCGCUUUUUGCCGUAGCGAAAGCAUAAGUGUCCGCCUGGAGAUGAC